RNAcentral lists this ribosomal RNA (251 nucleotides) under uncultured prokaryote. RNAcentral describes it as "partial 16S rRNA". It matches the Rfam family "Bacterial small subunit ribosomal RNA", at positions 525 to 775 of the family's 1533-position model. The record is from RNAcentral.
ACGGAGGGUGCAAGCGUUAAUCGGAAUCACUGGGCGUAAAGCGCACGUAGGCUGUCGGGUAAGUCAGACGUGAAAGCCCUCGGCUCAACCGGGGAACUGCGUUUGAAACUGCUCGACUUGAGUGCCGGAGAGGGUGGCGGAAUUCCAGGUGUAGGAGUGAAAUCCGUAGAUAUCUGGAGGAACACCGGUGGCGAAGGCGGCCACCUGGACGGCAACUGACGCUGAGGUGCGAAAGCGUGGGGAGCAAACAG